RNAcentral lists this transfer RNA (74 nucleotides) under Verrucomicrobia bacterium TMED71. Its description in RNAcentral is "tRNA-Gln". It matches the Rfam family "tRNA". From Rfam's summary of the family: Transfer RNA (tRNA) molecules are approximately 80 nucleotides in length. Lineage: Bacteria; Pseudomonadati; Verrucomicrobiota. The record is from RNAcentral. RNAcentral also lists the same sequence under 1 other name.
AGCCUGAUGGUGUAAUGGUAGCACACCUGGUUUUGGUCCAGGCGGUCGGGGUUCGAACCCCUGUCGGGCUGCCA